This 516-nucleotide long non-coding RNA is filed under the name Nicotiana benthamiana. RNAcentral's name for it is "long non-coding RNA (NBEN_LNC022914)". Lineage: Eukaryota; Viridiplantae; Streptophyta; Magnoliopsida; Solanales; Solanaceae. The record is from RNAcentral.
UCUGAUUGACCGUUUUGUCCUUCCAGCAUUGCAAAUUUUCUCCUCCAGUUCACCCUUAAGGCAUAAGUCAAGAUGCGUGGACUCUAGCUUGAGACAUUGGUUCACAAGAUGAACUUGGGAAGCAAACAUAAUGUCUUCUCUAUACUGCUCGGAUAUUCGUUGCUCCUCAAAAUAGCUGAGAGUGUUCCAUACAUUAGCAAAGAAAACUCGAUUCAUCUGCCCAAGAACAGCAUAAGACCAUGAUAUAUUACCUAGCUGAUCCCUAUUAAACAUUAGCACAGGAGAGUUAAUAGCUCCAGACUCAACAUCUGCAAUAGCAUCUGCUGUCCUUUCUUUACUAUAUGGUAGCUUACCAGGGAUAAUUAAUUGCUCCAGACUCAACAUCUGCAAUACCAUCUGCUGUAGUUUCUUUAAUAUAAGGUAGUUUACCAUCACUCAAGCUGCAUUUGAAUUGAUUGACAUCACUAAAAACAUUAUAAAGAGAAUCAAGCAUGGGACCAGCUUGCUCAUUCAGAG